GCCCGGUUAGCUCAAUCGGUAGAGCGUGAGACUCUUACGAGCACACGACAUCUCAAGGUUGCGGGUUCGACCCCCGCAUCGGGCU
Molecule: transfer RNA, 85 nt
Filed under: Moelleriella libera RCEF 2490
Lineage: Eukaryota; Fungi; Ascomycota; Sordariomycetes; Hypocreales; Clavicipitaceae
Description: Aschersonia aleyrodis RCEF 2490 tRNA
Rfam family: tRNA
About the family: Transfer RNA (tRNA) molecules are approximately 80 nucleotides in length.
Source: Rfam by way of RNAcentral